RNAcentral lists this long non-coding RNA (1125 nucleotides) under Equus caballus (horse). RNAcentral's name for it is "lncRNA (ENSECAG00000043950.1)". Lineage: Eukaryota; Metazoa; Chordata; Mammalia; Perissodactyla; Equidae. The record is from RNAcentral.
ACUUAUCCUUAGGUAUUUCAUAUUUUUUGAUAUUUUUGUGAAUGCUUGCUUUUUAAAAUUUCGUUUUUGACUGAUCAUUGCUAGUAUAUAGAAAUAAAAUUGAUAUUUGUGUAUUGAUCUUGUAACCUGCAACCUUUCUAAAUUCACUUAGUUCUAGCAGUGUUUUUUUUUUCCUUUUGUAGAUCUCAUCAGAUUUUCUUCAUAGACAAUCAUAUUGUCUGAGAAUAUAAGAUUUUAACUUCUUUUUUCCUCCAAUCUGGAGACUUUUUAUUUGUUUAUCUUUCCUGAUUGCACUGACUGGAACCGCCGAUACAACGUUGAAUGGAAGUGGUCAGAGCAGACAUUUUUGUAUUGUUCCUGAUCUUAUGGAGGAGCACUUUCUGUCUUUCACCUUUAAGUAUGAUGUUAGCUGUAAAUGUUCCGCAGAAGCCCUUUAUCAGGUUGGGGAGUUCACUUCUAUUCCCAGUUUACUGAGAAUUUUUGUCAGGAAUGGAAGUUGAAUUUGUCAAAUGCUUUUUCUGCAUCUAUUGAGAUGAUGACAAUAUGAAUUUUCUUUCUUAAUAUAACAAAUUACAUUGAUUGCUUUUUGAAUAUUAAACCAACCCUGCAUUCUUGGGGUAAACCCCAGUUGUUAUGUAUUAUCCUUUAAAAAUAUUUUUGUAUUCGAUUUGCUAAAAUUUGUUUUGCAUUUGUGUUCAGGAGCCCAUGCCUGAAAGCUCUGGGGUGAUUAGAUGCCAAUAGCACCAACAGUUUUUCUUCUGUGGCACUAAGGACAAGAUAGAACAGUUGGCGUUCAUAACAGAUCUUCAAGAAGGAAUGGAAGAACACUUGAAAUGCAUUAUUCUCAACAGCCAAGACAUGGAAGCAACCUAAGUGCCCACUGACUAAUGAUUGGAUAAAGAAGACAUGGUAUUAUAUAUACAUAUAAUAGAAUACUACUCAGCCAUAAAAAAAGAGAAAAUUGUCCCAUUCACAACAAAAUGGAUGGACCUUGAGGGUAUUAUAUUAAGGGAAAUAAGCUAGAUGGAGCAAGACAAACACUGUAUGAUUCCACUCAUCUAUGGAAGAUAAACAAACACAUGGACAAAAAGAACUAUUUAGUGGUACCGGGGGAACAAAGGUGGG